RNAcentral lists this ribosomal RNA (477 nucleotides) under uncultured bacterium. RNAcentral's name for it is "bacterial SSU rRNA". It matches the Rfam family "Bacterial small subunit ribosomal RNA", at positions 21 to 518 of the family's 1533-position model. The record is from RNAcentral.
GGCUCAGGACGAACGCUGGCGGCGUGCUUCAUACAUGCAAGUCGAACGAGAAGUUACCUUCGGGUAAUGGAAAGUGGCGGACGGGUGAGUAAAAUGUAGAGAAUCUGCCCCAGAGCGGGGGAUAGCAGUUGGAAACGACUAUUAAUACCCCAUAUGAGCGUAGUUGAAAUACUAUUCUUGAAAACUCCGGUGCUCUGGGAUGAGUCUGCAUCUGAUUAGCUAGUUGGGGGUGUAAUGGACCACCAAGGCGACGAUCAGUAGCUGGUUUGAGAGGAUGAUCAGCCACAAUGGGACUGAGACACGGCCCAUACUCCUACGGGAGGCAGCAGUAGGGAAUUUUGCGCAAUGGGGGAAACCCUGACGCAAGCAACGCCGCGUGAAUGAAGAAGCCCUUCGGGGUGUAAAGUUCUGUCAGUGGGGACGAAACUUGACGGUACCCACAGAGGAAGCAUCGGCUAACUCCGUGCCAGCAGCUGC